Long non-coding RNA from Lutra lutra (Eurasian river otter), 6874 nucleotides. RefSeq lists it as uncharacterized. The transcript is spliced from 3 exons. Lineage: Eukaryota; Metazoa; Chordata; Mammalia; Carnivora; Mustelidae. The record is from RefSeq and is a predicted model, not a curated record.
UCAUUUACAUACGUGAAUGCUACACUUUCGGUUAGAAAGUAUACUUGUUCACUUCAGUGCCACAACCUUGUCUAGAAAUGUAUAAUUUAUAAAAUUUAAUAUCUAAUGAUUAAUUAUUAGAAACUAAAUAGAUUUUAUAUUCCUAUCUAAUGAAAAAUGAUAGUUCAGUAAGCCCAGUUUUAGUUGAUUUCAUUAGUGAUCCUAUCUUAUGUUUAGCUCCCUCUUUUUGUAGUAGGGCCUGAAUAAAUGUUUGUGUUGACCCUGGAUCGGUGUUGGAUAGUUUGAAACACCUGCUUUUAGGAAGUUAUAGUAAAAAACACAGCUAAGUGUUCCAAACUUGGAAACAGAUCUAUUUGAUAUCUGAAUAGUUGUUAGUACAUAAAAAUCAGGGAAUACUCUUUGCUUUUAUUUUCCUUUCUUCUGAGAUAUGUAAACUGGAAGGCUUAAGUGUAUAAUUAGACUGGACUUAACUGAACGUUCCUAAGGGAGUUAUAGAAGUCCAGAUAGAGUGGGGUUAGGAAUUGCAGCUCUUCUGAUCAAUUUAGAAAAGCUUGAAGGGGAGGGGGGAAGAAAAAGGACUUAGGAAUUUUACAGAGUUAGAGGAGGGGAGGGUACAGUAACCACAGGGUACCAUUUUGAAAAGAUUUGGAGGGGGGAAUAAUAAUAGCUUUUGUUAUACAUUAUAAUUACUAGCUGGGAAAAACUGUUCCCAACAGAUUAUAUGUAUUUUCUCAUUUACAUAAUAGCCAUAUGAUACAAUGUUAUAUCAUGCCCAUUUUACCAGUAAAGCAUAUAUGGCGAGAGAUAAAGAGGUGCCCUAAGAUCACACAGCUAGUCAGGGGGAGGUUUUGACUUCAAAAUUCACACUCUUAACUAUGGUACUUUACUGCAGUAUUGGUAUUGCCUUAUUUGCUAUGAUGCAAUAGCUCUAAAGAAACUUGACUCAUAUGAGAUGAUUUGAAACAUAGGGCAUGAAAGAAGUAAUGUUGCUUAAAUUCCUCAAUGCAAAUCUUUCACCAGACUGUCUGUUUUGUUUACAGUUGUGUCUCCAUUAUCUAACCCAGUGCUGUAGAGUGGGUACUGGAAAAAUUCACGCUAUAAAUAAAUAAUUUUGAAGCAGAGGGUAAGAUUAUAGAUAUAUUGCAAAGAUCCUUAAGAUGACCUAAAAAUUACUGAAUCAGGUUAAGAAAAAAAGUAGGAAAAGUGCUGGUGGAAAAUAGUUCAAUAAGAAUGAAGUUAUAAUAAUCAUCAUUAAAGAUGACUAGGACCAGAGUUUAUAUCCAGGCAACAAGGAUAAAAAGGAAGGAGCCUUCAUUUAUAAGGUGAAAAGAUUUCAUGGGACAUAAGAGACUAUAAAGGUUAUUCUAGAGUCAAGAUUUGUAUGAUGCUGCAGUAACAAUAGCUGAUGUUUCAUGAAUAUUUACUUAGUGCCCUGCAGUAUGCUAGUGAUUCCUAUGUAUUAUCUCAUUUAAUCCUCAUAGUAACCCCUUGUGAGGCCUAGGCAAUUGGUGUACUUGAAACUUGCCCAUGGCAGUACAGCUAGAUAGUACAGCUAGAUAGAGAGAGAUAUGAAUAUGGAUUCAUAGAAAAAGGUAUAUUGCUACCAUGUAUAGGUUAGGAAUAGAGCAUCUAGUUACCAGUGCCUUGAAAGUCAGCUGCUUUGUUGGACUGAAACAAAAUGACAAGAUGGACAGGUUUGUGUAUUAGUUUAGUAUUAGCAGAAACUAGCUAGUUGUGCCAAAUGAUACUGGCUAGGAUGCUGAGACUUCAAAAGACGUUUUGAACUUUUGGAUGCAUUUGUUAUCACAAUGAUAGAUGAUUUAGGAGACACCUUUUCUUUGAUCAUACAGUACAUUUGUGAAGUGUAUUGUUGUUUCAUAUCAGAUUUUUUUUCAGAAAUUUGACUAUAGGGAGCACUGCCAAGAAUGUAGUCAUGGCAGUGAACUAGGUGCUGUGCAAAGGAAUUCUGGUAGCUGUUAGAAAUGUUUGUAAGAAUUUCUUCUGAACCUUGAGACAUUCAUUUAAAAAAAUUCUCUUUACUCAAAGACAGAACCAAGUGCCUGUUAAAGGGAUGCUUGAGUAUAUGGUAUAAGUGUUGCAGAAAUUUUGUAUGGCCAUUUAAAAAUUAUUAGGAUUUUCUUACCUACUUCACUCACAGCUUUCUCCUAACCCUUGCUGCUGAAAACUCUUAAAAUGAAGCCAGGCUUCUAGAACUGCCUGGGAGCAGGGAACUGACAAAUAAAAAAAAGAUACGGUUGCUCACAGAAACUAGGAAAAAAUAACGUUAGAGUGUAAUAAAUAAUUUUGUAUUUUAACAAAACAAAAUAAAAUUUAAGUUUUAAAUAUCUUACAGACACCUAGGUACUACAGAUUCUAGGAACCUUAAAAGGUUUCCUGUUUUGUAAUCCUGUAUAUUCCCUGGAUUCCUAAUCACAUGCCAUUACUGCAGGUCUUAUCUCUUGUGUUAAAAAUGGAUGCCUAUAUACUUAAAUACAUUUUUUAAGAAGGAAGUUACAAAGGCUCAAUUUUUUUGACUAUCUCCUUUCUUACUCUGAUUUUUUUCCUCUCAUCUAAUCAAUAAAUAAUUGAAUGCCUACUAUAUAUCAAGCUUUUUUUUUCUCUGCACCGGGAAUAUGGCAAUUAACAAAAUAGGCAGAAGUCUCUGUCUUCAUGGAGCUUACAUUGUAGUAUGUAUUGUAGCAUGGAGAGAUAGACAAUUAACAAAUUGUUUAGUAUAUACAUGAGGUUAGGGAUAAGAAGGAAAUAAUUUUUAGUCUAAAAAGGAAGGAUCAUUGAGAUAGGAGGAAAGCCAAUAGAAUGUGUUGUCUUGGAAUCGGAAGGGAAAAAAUGUUUUGAGGGGGAAGAAAUGAUUAGCUCUGUCAAAUUUUUUGAUGGAUCAAGUACAAGAUGAAAACAAAAAGAUGACCAUUGCAAUGUCGGUCCACGUGGAGGCCACUGGGCCCUGGUCAAGGGCAAUUUCUGUGGAAAAACUGGGAUAAACAGCAUCAUUGGUGUGGGCUCAAGAGCGAACAGGGACAAAUUAAAUACAGAUAGGAUAGUGUAUAGACACUAGUAAUAUGUAGAGUUUAUAUACUUGUAAAAGGGAGCAGAAAAAAAUGGAGUAAAAAUUGGAGAGUUAAGUGGGGUUGAGUUUUUGUUUUUAGAAAGGAGAAAUAACCUAUCUUGAUGGCAAAAUUGAUGAUACCAGAAAAAGUAAAUUGUUGAAUAGUAUGCCUCUUUGAAUUAAGGAUUGGAAUCUAGAGCACAAGUGGAAUGGAGAACAGAUGAUGCAUUAAUAAUAAUAAGAAAAAGCAGAGAAUAUGGAUUCAAAGGAAUGCCAAUGAAUUGAUGUGGUGGGAGCUAGUGGAAACUAUCUUUUGGUUGCCUUAGGUUUUUUUAGUGAAACAGAGCAUGGACAUCACCUGGGGAUGAUUGUGAGGGAGGAAAUUUGAAAAGUGAGGCAAAGUAUGAAUUGUCCUGUAGGAGAGUAAAGGAGUGAGUUAACUAUGGAAAUACAGUAUGUUUGGUGGCUGUAGCAUUUGGGGUCCUUUUGAGCUAAGUCAUCAUGAAUUUAAAGUGACUUUAAAGUUAACAUGAAUUUAAAGGUCAGCAUAGUUGUGUAUUUUUCUCCAGCCACGUUGAGCUGCAGGGGAAAGGACUGAAGUAAACAAGGAUUUAAUUAUGGUUAUAUUUCAGCCAACUAAGUUGAGUGCAACAAGAAGCGUAAGAGAGUUGUGGGUGGGGGGUGGGUAUGCAAGCAAGUGAUUUUAAUAACUGACCAUGGACCGAGCAUAUUAAAUUCAGUCUUGAAAAUGUGUACACAGGGAUGCAUGUAGGACAUCCAGGGGCAGUUUCCAAGUGUGAGUUGCAACAGUUGUUGUAGAGCUUAGUAGCAAGGUCAGAGCUGGAGAAAAGGAUUUGGGAAAGAAACAUUGUUACAGCUUGGGAGGUGUACCGUAACAUUAGAAGAGGAUUGAGAGAGGCAAGGCCCUGAUGGACGCGAGCAUUUAAGGAGUCAGGUAGAAGAAAGGAUCAGGCAGAAGAAUGAAACAAAACUCUGGGAUUAGAGCAGAAUUUUCUGUUUUCUUAUGAAUUUUGAAAACCCUGACAACAUUUUUUUUGUUUGCUUCCCAGCCCUUAAUAAAGCAAAACUAUAUAUUUGUUCACUUAAUUUGACUACUCUUAUUUAAUAUAUGUAGCCACAUAUAUUUUAGAUUUUUCAGACCCAUAAUUUUGACUUUCUUUACAGGACUUAAAUUUUUGUUUGUUAUAUUCUAGUGUAAGCAUAAUAUUUUGAAAUAAAUACGUAGUCACAAAAAGAAUGGCUAGAAGAGAGUUAAUAGAUAAGUAGCAAUCCAUUAUUAUUACUGAAGAAAAGAAGCAAACACCUUACCAACGCAGGGUUGGUAAACCCAGUUUUACAUUCAAAAGAGUGUCAUAUAUUAUCAAAUCUGUUUUAGAUUAAAUUAAACCCUAUAUCUGCUCUUCUUUUCUGAUACCUUUCUCUUCUAUAGACUAUAUCUUAUUUUACAUUUUAGUUAUUGAGUAAUAAUAACAGAUUUUUACAUGGCAAGCAAAUUAUGGUAGAAAAAUAUGGUUUGAUAAAAGGCUUGAUUUGGGGCCUGUUUUAAAGAAAGAAAUAUUUGGGGAAAACGUUUUUAAAUUGCCAUUUAGAAAUUCUACAUUUAAAUUCACCUCAAAGAGUAAAAGUAGUAUAUAUAAGUUAUGUAUAUCAGGUUUUAUGAUUUCAGAUACUAAGUAAUUUAGAAAUAUUUAAAAGUGCUUUGAAAAUGCAGUAGAUUGAAUCAGUCCAAAUAAUAGUGAUUUAAAAGAAAUAUAUUUUUUCUCUAUGAAGUACUUCAGGUGAUAAAGUCACUUAAGUAAUUACAUUAUUUGGGUUGAUUAUAGGUUGAAGCUUAAAUGAUACCUGUUCAGGGAUGAUAAAGUGAAUAUUGGUAUGUCACAUGUUUCUGUGACCCAGUUUAGAUCCAAGUAUGGACAUGUAAUACAAAUUCAGGAUUGGAUUUCACAUAAGUAUGGUGGUGAGGAGAGUUCCUUUGAUUUAAGAGAUUAAAAAUUAUAAUUUAACAGUAGGAUGAUCAGUAGUAGUUCAGGAUUCUAAGCUUGUCUGAGGAAAAAUCAGUCUAUCCCUUUUUAACAUCUUUCCAAUUUUAAUUUUAUUGCAGAUUCAACUGUCCUGUAAGUUCAGUGAAAAACAAGUAGUCUCAAGAAAAAAGUUCAUUUUAAUAGUGAAAUAUAUCUUAAGUGGUGUAAAGUAGUACAAAGCAUAAUUCUGCUGUGAUCAUGUUUGGUUUGGGCAUGUGGUUAUACAACUCUCCUCUUGACAUUGUUAUUUUAUUUUGUUUUAUUGUUAGUAGUUAUUACUUUAAGUAACCUCUGUACCCAUUGUGGGGCCUGAACUCAUGACCCCAACGUCAAGAGUUUCUUGUUCUACCUAUUGACUGAGCCAGCCUGGUAUACCCUUACAUUGUUAUUUUUAAAAAAUUUUGGAAAUACACCUGCACCAACAGAGCAGUGUACUUCUUUUCUCUUUGGAGUUUAUACAAUGGAGCUGCUCUACAUGAGAUAUCUAAAACAUGUUACUGUAAUUAAAAACUGUUUCUCAUUGAUAACCCAUUUAGUUUUUAAAAAGCAUAAAUUCUGAUAUGAUUCUUAAGGAACUUAAAGUUGUCUUUGCAAAGUAUUUCUAAGUUGUAUUCCUCAUAAGAAAAAAUAGAAAAUCAUACUUUGAGGAUCCUUUUCAAUGAUCACACUUCACAAGAUGCAGUGUUUUUUUUGUUUUGUUUUGUUUUGUUUUUUGCAUAUUUAAGAUAGAGAUUAAUCAGUUUUUCAGAAAGAAAUGCCAUAUUGGACCCUCAAUUCUUUGGGAUUCUGGUUUUUUUUUUUGGGGGGGGGGGUGUUCUUUCAUCUGAUGAAUAGAGGAAGGGUAAGAUAAGUGUUGGAGUUGGAAGGUCCCAAACCUUGGUCUUCUAUUUUUACUGCAAUGGGGCCAAAGAUAAAUAUGGCUGAAAAAAAAAAAAAAAAGACCUCGACUAUUUCCCAGACCCAUUUGUCUCUUGCAUACAAGCUGAAUGGUCAUAUGUUUUACAGUGUUCCUUGAGAAAAAGAUAAUUGUACUUGUGCGGAGCUAUUAUAAUUGUAAAGAAAGUUUUAAAAAACAGAAUGUAAGGUUAGUGCAUACUAAAGACUGAACAGUUUACCUUCAGGCAUGCUGAGAAAAAAAUUGUUUUACUUGAAUAUAACUUUACUGUUAAUAGCUACAUCCGAUAUAUAACAAUAACAGUAUGUUUUCAUAGAGUAUUAAUUUUUCCUAAAACAGCAUCUACUGGCUUUUCUUGGGUAAUUGUAAAAUUUUCUCCCAAACCAUACGUGGACAUGCAGUGAACAAUUAUUUAAUGAUACCAGAAAAAAACACAAGAUUGCAUCUCUCUUAACAAAUAAAAAAUCCUUACUGAGGUGCUAACAGUGAAAAUAAUUUUUACAUUUUUUGCUUACUUAUGCUUUCUUAUUUUUCAUAUUACUUGAUUUAUUCAAUAAAUAUGUAUUGAAUGCCUACUUUAUACUAAGAAGUUAUUUGAACAGUGAAAAAUACAUAAAUCAGCAUCUUGGAGCUCCCAUUCUGCUUUGGGCAAGAUAAAUAAUAAACAGUAACAUACUAAAUAAGCAAAUUGUUAGCAUGUAAGCGCUGUGGAGAAAAAAGAAGGGGAAAUAGGGAUUGUGGUGCUGAGGGUCAAGGCAAAUUUCAAUAUUCUGUGAGAAAAUUAGAGUGGAACUUAGUAACAUAUAGCAAAUACAAUAAAUAAAUACAAUAAAAGGGAAAAUUAAGAAAAUAGUUAACACAAUUAUGUUUUCU